This 1366-nucleotide ribosomal RNA is filed under the name uncultured bacterium. RNAcentral's name for it is "bacterial SSU rRNA". It matches the Rfam family "Bacterial small subunit ribosomal RNA", at positions 35 to 1396 of the family's 1533-position model. The record is from RNAcentral.
GCUAGCUACAGGCUUAACACAUGCAAGUCGAGGGGCAGCAUGGUCUUAGCUUGCUAAGGCCGAUGGCGACCGGCGCACGGGUGAGUAACACGUAUCCAACCUGCCGUCUACUCUUGGACAGCCUUCUGAAAGGAAGAUUAAUACAAGAUGGCAUCAUGAGUCCGCAUGUUCACAUGAUUAAAGGUAUUCCGGUAGACGAUGGGGAUGCGUUCCAUUAGAUAGUAGGCGGGGUAACGGCCCACCUAGUCUUCGAUGGAUAGGGGUUCUGAGAGGAAGGUCCCCCACAUUGGAACUGAGACACGGUCCAAACUCCUACGGGAGGCAGCAGUGAGGAAUAUUGGUCAAUGGGCGAGAGCCUGAACCAGCCAAGUAGCGUGAAGGAUGACUGCCCUAUGGGUUGUAAACUUCUUUUAUAAAGGAAUAAAGUCGGGUAUGGAUACCCGUUUGCAUGUACUUUAUGAAUAAGGAUCGGCUAACUCCGUGCCAGCAGCCGCGGUAAUACGGAGGAUCCGAGCGUUAUCCGGAUUUAUUGGGUUUAAAGGGAGCGUAGAUGGAUGUUUAAGUCAGUUGUGAAAGUUUGCGGCUCAACCGUAAAAUUGCAGUUGAUACUGGAUAUCUUGAGUGCAGUUGAGGCAGGCGGAAUUCGUGGUGUAGCGGUGAAAUGCUUAGAUAUCACGAAGAACUCCGAUUGCGAAGGCAGCCUGCUAAGCUGCAACUGACAUUGAGGCUCGAAAGUGUGGGUAUCAAACAGGAUUAGAUACCCUGGUAGUCCACACGGUAAACGAUGAAUACUCGCUGUUUGCGAUAUACGGCAAGCGGCCAAGCGAAAGCGUUAAGUAUUCCACCUGGGGAGUACGCCGGCAACGGUGAAACUCAAAGGAAUUGACGGGGGCCCGCACAAGCGGAGGAACAUGUGGUUUAAUUCGAUGAUACGCGAGGAACCUUACCCGGGCUUAAAUUGCAGAUGAAUUACGGUGAAAGCCGUAAGCCGCAAGGCAUCUGUGAAGGUGCUGCAUGGUUGUCGUCAGCUCGUGCCGUGAGGUGUCGGCUUAAGUGCCAUAACGAGCGCAACCCUUGUUGUCAGUUACUAACAGGUUCCGCUGAGGACUCUGACAAGACUGCCAUCGUAAGAUGUGAGGAAGGUGGGGAUGACGUCAAAUCAGCACGGCCCUUACGUCCGGGGCUACACACGUGUUACAAUGGGGGGUACAGAGGGCCGCUACCACGCGAGUGGAUGCCAAUCCCCAAAACCUCUCUCAGUUCGGACUGGAGUCUGCAACCCGACUCCACGAAGCUGGAUUCGCUAGUAAUCGCGCAUCAGCCACGGCGCGGUGAAUACGUUCCCGGGCCUUGUACACACCGCCCG